RNAcentral lists this ribosomal RNA (433 nucleotides) under uncultured bacterium. RNAcentral's name for it is "partial 16S ribosomal RNA". It matches the Rfam family "Bacterial small subunit ribosomal RNA", at positions 29 to 507 of the family's 1533-position model. The record is from RNAcentral.
AACGAACGCUGGCGGCAUGCCUAACACAUGCAAGUCGAACGAGACCUUCGGGUCUAGUGGCGCACGGGUGCGUAACGCGUGGGAACCUGCCCUUAGCGUCGGAAUAACUCCCCGAAAUGGGUGCUAAUACCGGAUAAUGUCUUCGGACCAAAGAUUUAUCGCCUUUGGAUGGGCCCGCGUUGGAUUAGCUAGUUGGUAGGGUAAAAGCCUACCAAGGCGACGAUCCAUAGCUGGUCUGAGAGGAUGAUCAGCCACACUGGGACUGAGACACGGCCCAGACUCCUACGGGAGGCAGCAGUGGGGAAUAUUGGACAAUGGGCGAAAGCCUGAUCCAGCAAUGCCGCGUGAGUGAUGAAGGCCUUAGGGUUGUAAAGCUCUUUUACCCGGGAUGAUAAUGACAGUACCGGGAGAAUAAGCUCCGGCUAACUCCGUG